AAAAACAUUUUUAAUAGAACUUAUUAUUAAUAAUAUCUGCUCAAUGAACCUUAAAUAGCCGCAGAUUAUUGUGCUAAGGUAGCAUAAUCAUUUGUCUUUUAAUUAAAGUCUUGAAUGAAAGAUUCUACAUUUAAUUUAUUUUAUAAAUAUUAAAUAAUAAAUUUAUCAUAAAUAUAAAAAGAUAUUUAUACAUAAAAAAGACGAUAAGACCCUAUUGAACUUCAYUUAAGUUUUACUGGGGCAGUAAAUUAAAAAUUAUUUUAAUUUUUAAUCUAAAAACUUCUAGUAAAAUUAAAUUAAAUAAGUUACCAUAGGGAUAACAGCGUAAUAUUUUACAAUAGAUCUUAUACAAUAAAUUGAUUACGACCUCGAUGUUGAAUUAAUAUUCUUAUAGUCGCAAUAGAUUAUCAAAGAAAGUCUGUUCGACUUUUAAUUAAUUACAUG
RNAcentral lists this ribosomal RNA (444 nucleotides) under Neostasina sp. Jamaica_00006568A. RNAcentral describes it as "partial 16S ribosomal RNA". The record is from RNAcentral. Lineage: Eukaryota; Metazoa; Arthropoda; Arachnida; Araneae; Sparassidae.